Long non-coding RNA from Mesocricetus auratus (golden hamster), 1280 nucleotides. RefSeq lists it as uncharacterized. The record is from RefSeq and is a predicted model, not a curated record. Lineage: Eukaryota; Metazoa; Chordata; Mammalia; Rodentia; Cricetidae. The transcript has 4 exons.
UUGUUUUAAGGAUCUUUGGCCUAAUUCAGCUGCCUGCCUGGGUCAAUCUGAGAGCUCUACCAGUUCCUUUUGGACUUCAGGACCAAGAAGGUUUGAUGCUUGUGGACUAUGUCCCAACUUGGCUCAUCAGUCCCAAACAAGAGUGGAGAGCAAAGGCCUUGACAAGGAAGGAGAGCCCAAGGCAAGGGAGUCCCAGUGACAUUGACUAAAAUCCUGGGUUGACCUCUGCCUGAACCAGGAAGCGUUUGCUUGGAUACGAGGUCUCCUAAAGGCCCGUGUGCUGACGACUUGGGCUGCCAUAUAGCAGUGCUCAGAGGUGGAGUUCUGGGAGUGGUCUACCAUGAGAUGAACAGCUUCGCUCUACCACGAGCUCCCCACAGUAACGGUCUGUCUUGUCACACACCCAGAAACAAUGGAGCCGAUCUUCCAUGGACUGAAACUUCUGAACCCAUGGGCCAAGAGACAUGCUUCUGCUUUUGUGUUGAUAUUCUGCCCCCCCCACCUUCUCUCUGUGACUGGUGGUUCAGUGGUUAAGAGCACUGGCUGCUCUUCUAGAGGUUCCAGGUUCUAUUCCUACACAAUCUGUUGUUGCUCCGGUUUCAGGGAUCCACUGUCCACUUCUGGACUCUGCAGGCACCAGUCAUCCAUGAGUGCAUACAUAUAGGCAAUACCUAUGUACAUAAAAACUUUUUAAUAUUUUUUUCUGAGACAUUGUCUGUCUACAUAGCUCUGACUGUCGUGGAACUUACUAUGUGGAACAAGUUGGUCUCAAAUUCACAGAUAUGCAACCCUCCAAAUGUUGUGUGUGCCACUGUAUCUGGCUUUAAUUUUUUUUUAUUUUGAUGUGCAUUGGUGUUUUGCCUGCAUGUAUGUUUGUGUGAGGGUAUCAGAUCUUGGAGUUACAGGCAGUGUGAGCUGCCAUGUGAGUGCGGGGAAUUGAACCCCGGUCCUCUGGAAGUGCAGUCAGUCCUCUUAACUGCUGAGCUAUCUUUCCAGCCCCCUAAAUUUUUUUUUUUAAAGAAUGAGGACUGGGGAUGCAGCUUGGAUGGUAAGGUAUAGGGAGAUAUUUGCCUGAGAUCCCAUAACAGUGGCCACGCCUUUUGGGCAUGGUUACAGGUGCAUCGUGACCGGUUUAAGAGGAAGGAUCAGAAAUCCUGGAUUCCCUUAGGGUGGCAGAGAGCAUUGGGGAACAGGGUCUGUCUCCUUGGAGCAGGACCGCCGCUGAAGUUAUUUAUUGUUUUCCGUGUAAGUUAUUUACUAAUAAACUCCCUUCAAUUAUA